This 1481-nucleotide unclassified non-coding RNA is filed under the name Zea mays. Its description in RNAcentral is "misc RNA Zm00001eb133540". The record is from RNAcentral. Lineage: Eukaryota; Viridiplantae; Streptophyta; Magnoliopsida; Poales; Poaceae.
GGACAAUUUGUUCCUACCACGGCACAAGGUGUUCUAACCACGACAGUCGAGGGCUACAGCUACAUCUUCGGUUUUUGUCUCGCGAGGAUGGAAUCUCAAGAGAAAAAUAUUGUACUUCCUACCCCCCAAGGUGAUAAUAAACUAUCGGUAGAUGAAUCUUUACUUGUGUGCUUGUCUCAUAACAAACCAAAAAACGGUGGCAACUUUAAUUGUUCCGAAAGGUUGAUCUUGCCCUCAUCGAUUGGAUUAAAGAAAUACCUUAUGAACCAAGGGUAGAAGUUGUGCUUAUCGAUGAUGCCUUUGUGGAAAGAAAAUAGAUGGAAUGUCUAUUUCAACCGGGCGCAUAUCUAGGUGAUGAGAUCUUGAGGUCGUGUACACAUAGAAAAUGCUUUUCAGUUCAACUUUCUAAAGCGAGACGGUGAUGUUGAAACUAAAACAGAUGAGUUAUAUCCAAUUAAAGACAUGGCACAAAUAUGUAGUGCUGAACGAAAGGUUUUACUCUACCUAGACCAUGAUAUGGUGUUUGUUCCGAUAAACAUCCGAGGAACGCACUGGUAUCUUGCUGUCAUCAAUGCAAGAAAUAUGGAGAUACCAGCGCUCAAUUCACUUGGUACUUCAUUCGACCGCAAUGACCUCACGGACUCGAGUAUACUUCUAAGUAAAGUGCUGAGAAUGCAACAAGAUCUUGAAGAUGAGAAAAACAAAACUACCAUCAAAGAUCUGGAAAACAAAGUCAGAAAUUACGAAGCUGCUCUGAAGGAAAAGGACUUCGUCAUUCAAGACCUUGAAAUCAAAAUUAAAGAUCACGAAGGUGCCUUGGAAAAGAAAGACUUCGUCAUUCAUUCUAUGGAAGGUUCACUGGCUGAAGCGCAAGCCGAAAAUAACAAAUUAAACAAUGAAUUACUUAUAAAAUCAGAAGAAUCUGAGCAAGAAAAGAAGAAUCUCGAAACAAGUCUCAAGACCGAAAUCGAGAAGAAUUCAAAUUUGCAAAAAAUCAUUGAAGGAGCUUCAGGAGAAAUGCUUAGAUUUCGGCAGCCGAUGUGUGCAGCGGCUGAAGGAUGUGUUUCACUCAAUUGGAGCCAGCUCUGAUAAGUUUACACCUUCAGCUGAAAACCUGCCAAGCACCUUGGAAUACAUUGAGGGCGAAGUUGAUGCACUUGACGAAGUUAUUGCUGGGCAUGCUGAUUUCUGCGCCCUGCUGGCUUCUCGAGGCACGGCUACCGCUUUCCUGAAGGCUGGCUGCACGCACGGGAAAAUUGUAAAUAGGCCAAACUUCAGCUUGUCACCGGCAGAUUUGGUUGACAUCCCAAGCCUAGCCCGAAGCAUAGGAAACAGGUUUAUGACCCAGAUUUGGAUAAAUGGCGGGCGAAAAAUGGCUGGUGACGAAGCUCGGAGCCACCUUAAAUCAGAUGAUGAAGCUGAAGAAUGACAAGCUGAAGCUUAACAGAUGCUCCGAAGGACUUUUCUGCAAAAGAUUCUAG